GACAAACGCUGGCGGCGUGCCUAACACAUGCAAGUCUGACGGGAAAGUCUCCUUCGGGAGACGAGUACAGUGGCGGACGGGUGAGUAACGCGUGGGAAUCUACCCGGUAGUGGGGGAUAACCCUUCGAAAGGGGGCGUAAUACCGCAUAAGUCCUACGGGGUAAAGAUGGCCUCUUUACAAUGCUAUCGCUUCCGGAUGAGCCCGCGUCCUAUUAGCUAGUUGGUGAGGUAAUGGCUUACCAAGGCCACGAUGGGUAGCCGGUCUGAGAGGAUGAACGGCCACACUGGGACUGAGAUACGGCCCAGACUCCUACGGGAGGCAGCAGUGGGGAAUCUUGCGCAAUGGGGGAAACCCUGACGCAGCAACGCCGCGUGGAUGAUGAAGGCCUUCGGGUCGUAAACUCCUGUCCUCGGGGAAAAGGAAGUGAUGGUACCCGGGGAGGAAGCCCCGGCCUAACUCCGUGCCAGCAGCCGCGGUAAGAUCACGUGUA
Molecule: ribosomal RNA, 491 nt
Filed under: uncultured bacterium
Lineage: Bacteria
Description: bacterial SSU rRNA
Rfam family: Bacterial small subunit ribosomal RNA
Source: RNAcentral